UCAAGCUAAUAAGAGCGCAGGGAGGAUGCCUUGGCAUUGGGAGCCGACGAAGGACGUGGUAAGCUGCGAAAAGCUGCGGGGAAUUGCAAGCAAGUAUUGAUCCGCAGAUGUCCGAAUGGAGCAAUCCGUUAAGAGUAAUAUCUUAACAUCAUAUACUGAAUCAAUAGGUAUAUGAGGGGAACCGCCUGAACUGAAACAUCUAAGUAGGGCGAGGAAAAGAAAUCAACCGAGAUUCCGAAAGUAGUGGCGAGCGAAAUCGGAAGAGGCUAAACCGAACUCAGAAAUGAGAUCGGGGUUUAGGACUGCAUUUAGUAUUGAAAUGAGCGAGCAGAAUGCUUUGGGAAAAGCAGCCGAAGAACGUGAGAGCCGUGUAAGCGAAGUGAGUUUCAGCGAGCAGUAUCCAAAGUACCGCGGGGCACGUGAAAUCCCGUGGGAAGAUGGGGGGACCACCCUCCAAGCCUAAAUACUACCCAAUGACCGAUAGCGAAUAGUACUGUGAAGGAAAGGUGAAAAGCACCCCGGGAGGGGAGUGAAAAAGAACCUGAAACCCUGUGCUUACAAGCACUGAGAGCUCGUCAAAGAGUGAUCAGGUACCUAUUGUAGAAUGGUCCGGCGAGUUAUGAUAUGCAGCAAGGUUAAGUACUUAAGGUACGGAGCCGCAGCGAGAGCGAGUCUGAAUAGGGCGUAAAGUUGUAUGUCAUAGACCCGAAACCGAGUGACCUAGCCAUGUCCAGGCUGAAGUGGAGGUAAAACUCCAUGGAGGGCCGAACCGACCUCCGUUGAAAAGGCGGCGGAUGAGGUGUGGCUAGCGGAGAAAUUCCAAUCGAACUCGGAUAUAGCUGGUUCUCUCCGAAAUAGCUUUAGGGCUAGCGUUGCAACAGAUUACCGGAGGUAAAGCACUGAAUAGGCUAGGGGGCGAGAGCUUACUGAACCUUAUCAAACUAAGAAUGCCGGAUAAUUGAUUUGCAGCAGUCAGACAGUGUGAGAUAAGUUUCAUUGUCAAAAGGGAAACAGCCCAGACCCACAGCUAAGGUCCCAAAGUACAUUUGAGUGGAAAAGGAUGUGGGGUUGCAUAGACAACCGGGAUGUUGGCUUAGAAGCAGCCAUACAUUAAAAGAGUGCGUAAUAGCUCACCGGUCGAGUGACCCUGCGCCGAAAAUUCAACGGGGCUAAAAUGUACACCGAAGCUUGGGAUUGUACUUUGUACAGUGGUAGGAGAGCGUCGAAUACGGGGUGAAGUCAGAGCGGAAGCGCUGGUGGACUGUAUUCGAGUGAGAAUGCCGGAAUGAGUAGCGAGAAUUAUGUGAGAAUCAUAAUGGCCGAAAGUCUAAGGUUUUGGAAGGAAGGUUCGUCCGCUUCCAGUAAGCCGGGAGCUAAGGUGAGGCCGAAAGGCGUAGCCGAUGCACAUACGGUUGAAAUUCCGUAGCCUCCGAAGUAUUUAAACAGAAGGACACUUGAGAAGUGAUGUUGCCGGGCGAUGGUUGACCCGGUCGUAAGGGACCGAAAUUUAGUAGGGAAGUCAUCAUGGAUCGAGGCGAGAAAAGUUCUGUGAAUAUACAAGGAGCCCGUACCGCAAACCGACACAGGUAGAUAGGAAGAAAAUUCUAAGGCCAACGGGAGAAGGGUUGUUAAGGAACUCGGCAAGUUGACCCCGUAACUUCGGAAUAAGGGGUGCUCUCGAGAGAGAGCCGCAGAGAAUAGGCCCAGGCGACUGUUUAGCAAAAACACAGCUCUAUGCUAAAUCGAAAGAUGAUGUAUAUGGGGUGACACCUGCCCGGUGCCGGAAGGUUAAGAGGAGGCGUGAGAGCGCUGAAUUGAAGCCCCGGUAAACGGCGGCCGUAACUAUAACGGUCCUAAGGUAGCGAAAUUCCUUGUCAGGUAAGUUCU
This 1887-nucleotide ribosomal RNA is filed under the name human gut metagenome. RNAcentral's name for it is "bacterial LSU rRNA". It matches the Rfam family "Bacterial large subunit ribosomal RNA", at positions 3 to 1984 of the family's 2925-position model. The record is from RNAcentral.